Molecule: ribosomal RNA, 515 nt
Filed under: Staphylococcus aureus
Lineage: Bacteria; Bacillati; Bacillota; Bacilli; Caryophanales; Staphylococcaceae
Description: partial 23S ribosomal RNA
Rfam family: Bacterial large subunit ribosomal RNA
Source: RNAcentral
UCCCAAAAUAUAUGUUAAGUGGAAAAGGAUGUGGCGUUGCCCAGACAACUAGGAUGUUGGCUUAGAAGCAGCCAUCAUUUAAAGAGUGCGUAAUAGCUCACUAGUCGAGUGACACUGCGCCGAAAAUGUACCGGGGCUAAACAUAUUACCGAAGCUGUGGAUUGUCCUUUGGACAAUGGUAGGAGAGCGUUCUAAGGGCGUUGAAGCAUGAUCGUAAGGACAUGUGGAGCGCUUAGAAGUGAGAAUGCCGGUGUGAGUAGCGAAAGACGGGUGAGAAUCCCGUCCACCGAUUGACUAAGGUUUCCAGAGGAAGGCUCGUCCGCUCUGGGUUAGUCGGGUCCUAAGCUGAGGCCGACAGGCGUAGGCGAUGGAUAACAGGUUGAUAUUCCUGUACCACCUAUAAUCGUUUUAAUCGAUGGGGGGACGCAGUAGGAUAGGCGAAGCGUGCGAUUGGAUUGCACGUCUAAGCAGUAAGGCUGAGUAUUAGGCAAAUCCGGUACUCGUUAAGGCUGAGC